Molecule: long non-coding RNA, 323 nt
Filed under: Mytilus galloprovincialis (Mediterranean mussel)
Lineage: Eukaryota; Metazoa; Mollusca; Bivalvia; Mytilida; Mytilidae
Source: RNAcentral
GUGUUUUUCUAUGUUGUGAUGUUAUUCUAUUAUAUCAGAAAAGGGAGAAGGUUUGGUACCAUUAAAACGUUUAAUCCCGCUGCAAUUGUUUGCACCUGUCCUUAGUCAAGAUUCUGAUGUUCAGUGGUUGUCGUCUGUCUACGUGGUUCAUAAGUGUUUCUCGUUUCUCAUUUUUAUAUAGAUUAGACCGUUGGUUUUCCCGUUUCAAUGGUAAUUUUUGGAGACCUUUAUAACUUGCUGUUCGGUGUGAACCAAGGUUCCGUGUUGAAGGCCGUACCUUGACCUAUAAUGGUUUACUUUUAUAAAUUGUCACUUGGUUGGAG